ACUUUCGAUGGUAGGAUAGAGGCCUACCAUGGUGGUAACGGGUAACGGGGUGUUAGGGCACGACACCGGAGAGGGAGCCUGAGAAACGGCUACCACAUCCAAGGAUGGCAGCAGGCGCGCAAAUUACCCAAUCCCGACACGGGGAGGUAGUGACAAUAAAUAACAAUACGGGGUUCUUUCGGACUUCGUAAUUGGAAUGAGUACAAUUUAAAUCUCUUAACGAGGAACAAUUGGAGGGCAAGUCUGGUGCCAGCAGCCGCGGUAAUUCCAGCUCCAAUAGCGUAUAUUAAAGUUGCUGCAGUUAAAAAGCUCGUAGUUGAAUUUCGGGACCAAUAUGUCGGUCGUGCCUCGGUACGUACUGGCAUCGUUGGUUUCUCCCUUCUGAAGAACCAUGAUGUCAUUUAUUUGGUGUCGUGGGGAAUCAGGACUGUUACUUUGAAAAAAUUAGAGUGUUUAAAGCAGGCUCACGCUUGAAUACAUUAGCAUGGAAUAAUGAAAUAGGACGUUUGAUUCUAUUUUGUUGGUUUCUAGGAUCGACGUAAUGAUUAAUAGGGAUAGUUGGGGGCAUUAGUAUUCAAUUGUCAGAGGUGAAAUUCUUGGAUUUAUUGAAGACUAACCACUGCGAAAGCAUUUGCCAAGGAUGUUUUCAUUAAUCAAGAACGAAAGUUAGGGGAUCGAAGACGAUCAGAUACCGUCGUAGUCUUAACCAUAAACUAUGCCGACUAGGGAUCGGAUGAUGUUAAUUUUUUAAUGACUCAUUCGGCGCCUUACGGGAAACCAAAGUGUUUGGGUUC
RNAcentral lists this ribosomal RNA (794 nucleotides) under uncultured Glomus. Its description in RNAcentral is "SSU rRNA". It matches the Rfam family "Eukaryotic small subunit ribosomal RNA", at positions 318 to 1114 of the family's 1831-position model. The record is from RNAcentral. Lineage: Eukaryota; Fungi; Glomeromycota; Glomeromycetes; Glomerales; Glomeraceae.